Molecule: ribosomal RNA, 452 nt
Filed under: Staphylococcus sp. El10
Lineage: Bacteria; Bacillati; Bacillota; Bacilli; Caryophanales; Staphylococcaceae
Description: bacterial SSU rRNA
Rfam family: Bacterial small subunit ribosomal RNA (bases 1-325)
Source: RNAcentral
UUGCUCCUUUGACGUUAGCGGCGGACGGGUGAUAACACGUGGAUAACCUACCUAUAAGACUGGGAUAUCUUCGGGAAACCGGACUAAUACCGGAUAAGAUUUUGAACCGCAUGGUUCAUAGUGAAAGACGGCCUUGCUGUCACUUAUAGAUGGAUCCGCGCCGUAUUAGCUAGUUGGUAAGGUAACGGCUUACCAAGGGAACGAUGCGUAGCCGACCUGAGAGGGUGAUCGGCCACACUGGUUCUGAGACACGGUCCAGACUCCUACGGGAGGCAGCAGUAGGGAAUCUUCCGCAAUGGGCGAAAGCCUGACGGAGCAACGCCGCGUGUAGUGAUGAUUGGCUUCUCUUCUUCCAAUUUCGUACUAGGGAGUAGACCACGUGCAUGUUUCUUGUUUGUUCCUUUUGUCCCCCGAAGGAAAAAUCUCCAUCUCUAUACCUGCGCAUCGGAGCG